Ciona intestinalis (vase tunicate) is the source of this 298-nucleotide non-coding RNA. The record is from RefSeq and is a predicted model, not a curated record. Lineage: Eukaryota; Metazoa; Chordata; Ascidiacea; Phlebobranchia; Cionidae.
AAGGAAGUUUGCUGGUUUGCUGGUGGUGUAACCGUAUGGGAACAUCCACAAUUGACUGUAUGAGUGAACAUCAACGUACAUUUUGACGUCAGUAAGACCCUCAACAAAGUUCUUCUGGGCUAAAGUACAUGGCUGCAAAGUAACAUUGUAGACGUUGAAUUAACCCAGCAAUACCAAACAAUACAUGGGACAUCACAACUCACCGCAAUGGUGUAGGCGUAACCGUCUGGGUUGGAAGAUGGGAUGAAAACGAAGUCAACAUCUUGCAACACACUUGGUGGGGAGUCGACAAGCUGUA